This 16674-nucleotide long non-coding RNA is filed under the name Malus domestica (apple). RNAcentral's name for it is "long non-coding RNA (MDOM_LNC015944)". The record is from RNAcentral. Lineage: Eukaryota; Viridiplantae; Streptophyta; Magnoliopsida; Rosales; Rosaceae.
UGAAGGAGCCUCUUCCUCCUUGUCUUCUUCUUACACCCAGUCAUGGACAUAUGAUGUCUCCCUCAGUUUUAGAGGAGAGGAUACCCGCUAAAAUUUUGUAGGUCAUCUGUACAACAAUUUGGUUCAGAAGGGAAUCAAAACCUUCAUGGACGAUGAGGCGCUUAAAAGAGGAGCGGAAAUAUCAUUGGCGCUUCUCAAAGAAAUUGAGGAUUCGAGGAUUUCUCUCGUUGUCUUCUCCGAAAACUACGCUUCCUCAGAGUGGUGCUUAGAUGAACUCGUUCACAUCUUUCACUGUAAAAAGCAACUGCAGCAGAUGGUUUUUCCAGUUUUUUACAAGGUGGAUCCAUCGGAUGUGAGGAACCAAAGAGAGUUUCGGUAAGGCACUUGCUGACCAUGAAAGCAAACUCAAAGAUAACAUGGACAAGGUGUUGAGAUGGAGAGAAACUCUUACAAAAGCAGCAAAUUUGUCUGGCUGGUCAUUCCUGGCCGACGGGUAUUUUUCUGACCUCUAUGUACUUGCAAACCUAUCAUUCAAAUGUAAAAUAAGUGUAUUAUUUGCUUCAAUUCAUAAGCAUAAUUUGAAGGCUUUUUAGCCAAAAUGGUUUUUCUGAGCAUAACUCUUUAUUUUUUUCUUUAAGAUUUAAAAUCAAUAGAAAUGGUUCUUGAGAUUGUUCAUCGUCAAUCAUUUUGGAUAUUCUGUGAAAAAAAAAUUUCUAUUAAAUUGAGUGUAUUUUUGUCAAAUCAAUCACUCCACUUGAACUGGUGGUUUCUUCAAUUUAGCUGAGAUUUCUCAUAUAAUGACUAAAAUGAUUGACGAUGGACACUCUCAAGAGACACUUCUAUCGAUUUUAAAUUUCACUGACGAAAAUGACGAGUUAUAACAAUUUUAGCAACUAUUUUAGUUAAAAAGACUAACAUAAAUAUAUAAUAUUUGAGAAAUGCUAAGGAGACCCUCUCAAAAUAGAACUCUCUCACAUCUCAUAGUUUAGUGUUAGUUCCCUUGCCAACAUUCUAAAAUAUUGUGACAAAAAGUUCAUGGAGAGUCUCACUUUUGAGAAAUUAUCCUUAGCAUUUUUUUCAUAAUAUUUUGAUAUUAUUCCCUCACAAUUUAUAGGAAAACUUGUUUAAGUUAUUCAUUAUUAGUAUGUGAAGUGAACACAUAUUGGAGAAUAUGAUCCCACAUCGGCCAUAUGAUAACAUAAUAUACCACAAAUAUAUAAGAGUUUGCACUCCUAAUACUAGCAAGAAUUUUUGUAGUAAAAUCUAAUACUGAGUAGUAUGAGAGUUUUUAUGAUUAGUAUUUCACUAUUAUGUGGAAUAUCCAAAUAUUUUUUUUAGUAUGGUCUAAUAUUAUUCAUUUAGUUCAAAAAUAUUUGACUUUCUUUUUCUUGAGUAGAGUUGUCUGUCUACACUUAAAAUAUUGAUUACAUGGAACAUCCACGAAUUUCUUGUAGUUUAAUUAUAAUAAUGUUCUUUUUUAUGCUUUUAAACUUGUAGGCAUGAAUAUAAAUUUAUUCAAAAAAUUGUUGAAGAGAUUUCGGUCCAAGUUUUAGGUAUUACCCAUUUGAACGUGGCAAAGUACCCAUUUGGAAUAGAGUCACGUGUCAAACAAUCCAGUACGGUUUUUUUGGAUCUUGGAUCUGUUCCUGUCCUCGAUCGCGAGCAAUUAGCCCUCCAACUCCGUCAAGGACAAACCGAAGAUCAAAAGCGCCACCAGCACCAUUUCCUCUCCAGUCUCUCCCCCUCACGCCGUUCCUCCGACGCCGCACCGCCCGCAACCACCGCCAAUUUUGAUCAAGACCGAGAUUGGGAUAGAGAGAGAGACCGAGAGAGAGACGGAGAUCGAGAACGCAUUCCUUUAAUGGUGUUGCUUCCGCCCUCGCUUUCUUAGCCGGAAGAUUUGUUAGGAUUCGCUUUCUUAUGUAUGCUGUGUUACUGAUUGGUUUGGCGAUGCAGGCACAAGAUUGCAGGCAGCUGGAAAGUCGGAUAAGGAGGAAGAAGAAGGAUCUGAUAGUUUUGGGAUUCUUAACCGCUUUGAUGGUCAUCAUCGUUAUAGUUAGAGCAAGUCCACCCCUGUGGACUUUGCGCCAACACCCAGCGCAUUUAUCCACUCAAAUGAACAGUAACAGACUCCAAUGAACAGUAAUAGGCCAAGGCAUCUCCACCCCUAAAACUAAAUAGCCUAGUCAAUUUUAUUAAAAUAUUAUUAAUUUUUAUUAUAAAAUAAUAAUUUUUAUUAAAGUACUCUCUGGACUCCAUUCUUCUUUUUCUUCCGUGAUUUUCCAACUGUGCUGUCAAGCACAGUUUCACCACUUUUUCUUCCCUUCUUCUUUUUCUUCUCUUCAAACCACCAAAACCCAUGUGAGAUUUUAGCCAAGUUCGGCCCUACCCCACGAGCCGCAACCACCAAACGAACCCGACGACCCGCAAUCCCACCCAACCCUCCUCCCCCAUCCCCUCACCCAUUGGUGCGCCAACCAAAACUGCAAACCCUUCGCCGUCGAUCCUCUCGAUCCCCGGAGCUCCUCCGAUUGCGACUGGUUCUCCGACGCCGCCUCCGAUUCAGACCAUGACGUCAGCUACUUCGUCACCGAUCUAUUCAAUCGCUGCAGCUCCGAGCAACAGCCCAAGACCGAGAGGGAGAGUUUUGGAUAUGGAAGCUCGAGUUGGGGUGGUGGUGGAAGGAAAGCAGAGAGCUUCGAAUUCAGCUCAAGGAGAUGUGGCGGUAUCGCCUGGCAUCAUGUAGGCCGGGCAAGAGCUCAGCACAUUCUGAGCCGGCCUAGAGACCAGCUUGGGCUGGGUGCCAGCCUAUCUGCUCGGCUGGAAUGGAUUGGCUGGGUGCCGGGCCAAUAAUUUGGCUGGGUGCUGGCCUAAAGGUUCCCCGGUGGAACUGCUCUUAUAGGAGUGGUGGCAGCUUGAUAGGCGUCCGCCUAGCCAAUGGAGGUGGCGAAAAAACGAUAUUUUUUUAUUUUUUAUUUCAUUUUUUCAAUAAAAUCGAAGAGACUUUUGAAUACUUAGAGCAUCUCCAAAAAAUAUGUUAAAUAUAAUAGGUUAAAAUUUUAUUUGAUGGUUGAUGUGAUAAAUUGAAUACAAGUGCUUUUUUUUUUUACCCAAUGAAUGUAUCAAAUAUUUAUUUUAUUAUUUUAUUGGGCCUAAAGUUACAUUAACUAUUAAAAAAUAAUAAAAAAAUAUUGUAGUUUUAUUUUAUUGGUUGUUAAUGAGACCCACGUAUUAAAAAAUUCAAUUAAAUAUAUUUGAUUCCUUCUUUGUUUGUUGUAAAAAAAAGACAGCUAGAAAGUAAACCGAAGAUCAAAAGCGCCACCAGCACCAUUUCCUCUCCAGUCUCUCCCCCUCACGCCGUUCCUCCGACGCCGCACCGCCCGCAACCACCGCUAAUUUUGAUCAAGACCGAGAUUGGGAUAGAGAGAGAGAGAGAGAGACCGAGAGAGAGACGGAGAUCGAGAACGCAUUCCUUUAAUGGCAAGGACGGAGCUACCAUGGGCCUAGGGGCGGAUGCCCCCACUGAGAUUUUUCUGAUGCUGACUCUUUUGCGGGAUUGAUUCUCAGAGGACGAGUACUGUGUGCUGCCUUAUGAUUGCCAUCCUCAUUAUAUGGCAUAGAAUAGAUUGACAUUCGAGCCCAUAUUCAUUGAUUAAUUUUUCCUUUUCCAGAUUAAUCCCUAUCUUCUUCACCCUGAGAUGAAUAUCAUCAGCAGUUCGUUGGUCCUACAAAGCGUCGUGCACCAACAUUUAUCUUGUCUCCACCUUUCGGCUUUCACAUUAAGCUUAUAGUUUGACAAAUGUCCCAGCGAAAGAUAAUUUUCAUCAUGCUGGCAUGCUGCUCAAACUGAUCGGGUUUUGCAGCAGCAGAGGCAGAGCCCCCACUGAUAUUUUUCUGGUUUUGCUCUCCGAUCUGGUUCUGCAAAAGCAGAGCUAGGUUUUAUUUUUUUUUUAAAUCCAGGCCAAAACGACGUCGUUUUGGUCCUGGUAUAAAAAAAAUAGUAAACGAAACGGCGUCGUUUCGUAUAUGUUUGAAAAAAAUAAAAGGUAUGUAUAGUGGGGGACUGCUUGUCCCCACCCGGUCCACCCCCAUUCCAUUAUUUCCAUCUUUCCGUUUCCUUUGCCAAUCAGAGAGCAGCUCUUCACCAAUUCCCCAAAUUCCAAGCAGGCAGCAGCAGAAACGGAACAGAACAGAAGCAACAAAGGUGUUGUUCCCAGGCUCCCAGCCAACCACGCGCAGCCAGCCACUCACCAGCCAGCCGCUCUAGUCGACAUAUAUAUAUUUAGGUAAUUUUUUUAAUUUCUAAAUCUAUAAUCCCUAACCCUAAUUAAUUAUUUAAGAUGAAUUUUUGUUUAAUUGGUAUAGAAAUAUAGAAUCAUAUGGUAAUGCACUAAUAUGGUUAUUGGUUAUUGAUAUGAAUUCUAUGAUUAUUGAUGAAUGAAAUUAUGAAAUUACAAAUUCUAUGAAUAUGGGUAUACAUUUAUUCAUAUGAUUAGUUGAAUUAAAUGUUUAUUUGUUGAAUAAUUUGUAUGUUUAUUGGUAUUGCCAUAUUGGUUAUUGGUUAAUUGAAUUGUUGCCUUGGUUGGAUAUGGAUUAGUUAUUAAGUAUAUUAAUAUAGUAUACUCUAGGAUUAAGAGUCUAAGAAUUUUAUUGAGAUUUUUAUUCUAUAAAUUCUACAAAUUACGUAUGAACCUUAUUUGUUAUUGGUAUCAAUAUGAUUGACUUUGCAGACUGAAACAUCAUGGAGAGGUUUUUUAAAAAAAAAUAUUAGUGCCGCCAUCCCCAGUUAUUGAGAAAAAUUAUGAUACUCAAGGACAAGAUAGUACAUAAUUUAUUUUAUCAAAUCUUCCAUUAGAUCCUGGUAAGCGAAUUCGAAUUUUGGAUUACAAUCCUAAUAUUCGAGAUCAAGUACGAAGAGCGUAUGUGCUAGCUGGUCCUCAACAACCUAAAACCCAUAAUUUUCCUUACAAGAAAUAUGGAGACACGCAAAGACGAUUCAACCCUGCUUGGUUUGAUGAUUUUCCUACUUGGUUGGAAUAUAGUGUAGAAAAAGAUGCUGCCUUUUGUCUGUGUUGCUACCUUUUUAAACCAAACAUUGGAGAACAAGCAGGUGGUGAUUUCCUUGUUGGCGAAGGAUUUUCUAACUGGAAGAAGAAAGAAAGACUUCUAACUUAUAUUGGAGGCGUCAAUAGUGCACACAAUCAAGCAUGGAAUAGUUUUGAAGCUUUAAGGAGUCAAAAGCAACAUAUCCAAUCUUUUUUCUCUAAAACUCAUGAUGAAGCUCGGAUUCAAUAUAGGGCUCGGUUGAAUGCAUCAAUCGAUUGUUGUCGAUUUCUUUUGAGACAAAGACUUGCAUUUCGUGGUAAUGAUGAAUCUGAACAUUCAAGCAAUCAUGGGAACUUUCUUGAGCUUCUACAGUUUCUUGCCAACCAUAAUAAGGAUGUGAAAGCCGUUACUUUGAAAAAUGAUCCGGAGAAUCACUAAUUGACAUCACCAGAUAUUCAAAAAGACAUUGUAAAUGCUUGUGCAACUGAGACCAUCAGGGCUAUUAUUAAAGACAUUGGCACUUCGUUGUUUUCUAUUUUGAUUGAUGAAUCUCGCGACGUAUCAACAAAGGAACAAAUGGCUAUUGUAUUGCGUUAUAUGGACAAGAAUGGGCAUGUCAUUGAGCGCCUUAUUGGCAUUGAGCAUGUUACUAGUACCGCUGCUCUCUCACUCAAGGAAACCAUUGAUGAGGUAUUUUCUAGGCAUAAAUUGAGCAUGUCUAGGUUGCGUGGGCAAGGUUACGAUGGGGCCAGCAAUAUGCAAGGUGAGUUCAAUGGUCUUAAAGCUCUAAUUAUGAAAGAAAAUGGUUGUGCUUAUUAUAUUCAUUGCUUUGCACAUCAACUUCAAUUAGCUCUUGUAGCUGUGGCAAAGAAGAACAUCCAAAUUGAGUCUCUUUUAGUAUAGUUACUAUUUUGGUAAAUGUUGUUGGAGCUUCAUCGAAGCGUUGUGAUCUUCUUCGAGAGAAGCAAUCUAUUGCAGUUAUUGAAGCACUAAACAGUGGUGAGUUUACAAGUGGGAAAGGCAAAAAUCAAGAAACUACUUUGAAACGUGCUGGAGAAACACGUUGGGGUUCACAUUUGGGUACUUUAGUAAGUAUAAUGACUAUGUUUUCAUCCAUACUUGAUGUACUUGAAGUAAUAGCAGAUGAUGGAGUAAGCUCUCAACAAAGAUGUGAAGCGAAUAAUUUAUUGGAUUCCAUGCAAUCAUUUGAUUUUGUGUUUAAUCUACACUUGAUGAAAGAUAUACUAGGAAUAACCAAUGAAUUGUCAAGCAUUGUAAAGGAAGGAUCAGGAUAUUGUAAAUGCCAUGAAGUUGGUUGGAGUUUGUAAGCAAAGGUUGGAGAUAAUGAGGAAAACUGGUUGGGAUUCUUUACUUAGUGAAGUCUCAAAAUUUUGUCUUAAACAUAAUAUUGAUGUGCCUAAUAUGGAUGAUAUGUUUCUUUCUCAAAGGCGAGGGCAACGAAAAGCACAAGCAGUCACAAAUAUGCAUCAUUAUUGUGUUGGGAUAUUUUAUGUUGUUUUGGAUUGGCAGCUCCAAGAACUAAAUAAUCGUUUCAAUGAGACCAACACUGAGUUACUUCUUUGUUUGGCAUGUUUAUGUCCAGCUGACUCCUUCUCUGCUUUUGAUAGCCAAAAGCUAUUGCGUCUUGCCCAGUUUUAUCCUAAAGACUUCUCUUUGAAUGAGCUGGUGAUACUUAAGAUUCAACUUGAGACUUACAUUGUGGAUAUGCGAUCUAGCAUUGAGUUUUCAGGUUUAAAAGACAUUGGAGAUCUUGCAAAGAAAAUGGUUCACUGCAAAAAGCACAAGGUGUAUUCGCUGGUUUACUUGUUUUUGACAUCCAGUUGCUACUGCAACCGUUGAAAGAGCAUUUUCGGCCAUGAAAAUUCUGAAGAAUCGAUUGAGAAAUCGGAUGGGAGAUCAAUGGAUGAAUGAUAACAUGAUUAUUUUUAUAGAGAGAGAGAUAUUUGAUGGUAUUGAUAAUGAUGUUGUCAUGCAACGCUUUCAGAACAUGAAAACGCGUCGAGGGAUAUUGUAAGGGACUGUUGUAUGAAAAACUUUCUGGAUUAAUAUACAAGUAUGUGUUUAGUAAAUUCUUGAGCUUUUUAAUUAUGACUUUAUUAUUUGAUGAUGCCCUCAUUCACACAAAUCUCUGGCUUCGUCCCUGUUUAAUGGUGCUGCUUCCGCCCUCGCUUUCUUAGCCGGAAGAUUUGUUAAGAUUCGCUUUCUUAUGUAUGCUGUGUUACUGAUUGGUUUGGCGAUGCAGGCACAAGAUUGCAGGCAGCUGGAAAGUCAGAUAAGGAGGAAGAAGAAGGAUCUGAUAGUUUUGGGAUUCUUAACCGCUUUGAUGGUCAUCAUCGUUAUAGUUAUAGGAGUGGUGGCAGCUUGAUAGGCGUCCGCCUAGCCAAUGGAGGUGGCGAAAAAACGAUAUUUUUUUAUUUUUUAUUUCAUUUUUUCAAUAAAAUCGAAGAGACUUUUGAAUACUUAGAGCAUCUCCAAAAAAUAUGUUAAAUAUAAUAGGUUAAAAUUUUAUUUGAUGGUUGAUGUGAUAAAUUGAAUACAAGUGCUAUUUUUUUUUUCCCCAAUGAAUGUAUCAAAUAUUUAUUUUAUUAUUUUUUUGGGCCUAGAGUUACAUUAACUAUUAAAAAAUAAUAAAAAAAUAUUGUAGUUUUAUUUUAUUGGUUGUUAAUGAGACCCACGUAUUAAAAAAUUCAAUUCAAUAUAUUUGACUCCUUCUUUGUUUGUUGUAAAAAAAAGACAGCUAGAAAGUAAGGCGUCAAAUGACUCACAUGUCACAUCAUAUAUGGCAUAUCCAUUGGAUAACACCUAAAUGUCUUUUAAUCUUAUUUGACAUCUCCUUUGGAGAUGGUCUUAUAUGAACAUCUAUUAUAAGGUUGUUCUCUUGUUUUCAGUAUGUUCUAAUAUUUUAUAAUUUAUGUCAUUUUAAUUUGCAAUGUAUGUAUCCAAUACAAUUAUGUAUUUUUAAGUAUGCCACGUUAUGUACUAUUUACUUGAUAAUUUGAAUCAAAUCCACACCAUCUCAAAAAAAUUCCAAUCCAUCUCAAUACAUUUGGGUCAAAACUUGGAGUUGCAAAGCACGGCAGACUACAAUUUGAAAAUUACUUUUCAGGUUUUAUAAAUAAAUAAAAAAUCACUUUUCAAUUAAAAAAAAAAACACCUAACCCGAAUCAAAAAAAUUGAACCAAAAUCAAACUUAACCUAAGAAAAUUGAAUGAAUAGUAAUUUCAGUUUGAUUUUCGUUUUGACAAAAAACUGACCGAUUGAAACGGACCCACCCUUUAUGAUAGGUUUGGUUCCUUGUAUAAUGAAUAGGUGACAUGCAUCAAAAUCUACUAUGUUUCAUUUCUUGUAUUUAUGCAACAAAAAGUUCUUCUCCUAUAAUUAAUCAUGUAUAUCAAUUCUUUCUUAGUAAUUCUCAAAACUACAUUUUCAGCCAAGAGUUAAUCAAAUGUGGUAGUUACAUGUAAAGACAGAGAAGACACUUACAUAUUAAUAUUGAACUAAUAUUAAAGCAUUACAACUAGAAUAUUUUCAAGUUAAAUCAUCACUUUAUUGAACCUAAAAGAGAGAGAAGCUAAUAAAUUAGGAAAAGGAAAUUGAUAGCAGGUAUUGUCAAAUCUAUGAAAAAAGGAUAUGGAUACUCUAAGCUUGAGAGGAAUGCAAAGAACAUGCUAAUUAGUCAUUCCCCAUAAAAUUAAUUAAGUUCCUUCAAUUUUAUUAUCAUAAAUUGUUUGCAUGAUUAAUUUAUUAGGUGUGGCUAGUGAUGAAAGAAAGCAUGUUGUUCCUAAUUGGAGGACUAGCAAGGUGUUUAAGAUGCAACAAAUGAGGUGAUGGGUAGAGUCUUGAGAAACUAUGGGGAGGGGAGCAGGAGAAACUAGUUCACGAAAAAGAAAACCCAUUUCUAUUCAAACCCUAAAGCCCAUUUCUAUUCAAACCCUACACCCAAGUCAAAGCCACAACAACCAAACCAAAACCAUUAAACAAUGAAGGAAUUUAACACAAAGUGACAAACAUAUACAUUGGGAUAGCAGAAAAGUCUAAACCCACUUCAAACCCUCAAACACUGACAUUACAAAACAACCCACCGACAAAUUUCACAAGAAAACAACACCCACUUAUCAAACUGAACAAAAGCCAUAUUGGGACCACUAAAAGUAAAGGAGAUUCGAUUUACUAACCAUAUUGUGGAGGCUUUCCAUUUUUUCGAUAUAUUUUUGCAUCGCAAUCAACCUAAAUCACCCUCGCAAACAACCAAAUUCGAAUUAUUCUUGACAAUCCUAUAAUUUAGUCGAAUCUAAUAGGUUUCAUUGAAUCUUAUGUAAAAAAUCCCCAAUAUUUUUUCAAACCCCAAGUCUUACAGUAGAAAAGAAUUUGUAGAAAGUGAAGAAAAGUAAGGGAUUAGGUGGGACCAAGGUAUUAAAUAUCGAUGAUAUCGGAAAUAUCGGUAGUCCGAAAACACGGAAAUAUCAGGAUAUUAUCGAUAUCGAUAAAAAUAAUAUGGAAACCACAGAAAUUGUAAGAAAAACUUGAAAAUUUUUAUUGAAACUUUGCAGGAUGUUUAUUUAGUCAAUUAUCUAUUAGUUUAUCACAAAAAAUUGGAAGGAAAUGCAUUGCAUGAUGGAUUUAACAUUAUCAAGUUGAUUAUAUAACGAGCUGGCAAACAUUGUGAAUGUAGAAAAUAUGUAGUAAUUAAUGAAAGAAGUUUAAACACACCAUAAUCAUUUAUAUAUAAUGAAUUAGUACAAUAUUUUACACUUUAUACAUUGCAUGGUAAAAUACAUGAGUGACUUAGUACCACAUAGAGUUCCUAUGAGGUUCAAAUUUUUCACUAUCUUCAUCAUCUCUAUGUGUAGAGUGAGUGUAUUGUGAAGAGUAGUUAUCAAAUGAUAAAUCCCCAAAAUAGUUUUGCAUGUAAUUGUUAACAUGCCACCCAUAUGGAUCCGAGAUUGGUUGACGUUGUUCAUAAGCAAAAUCAUUUGAAGAUUGAGUCUCGGAUUGUUUCCAUGAGUCGCUCGAUUCCAUUCCAACAUGAAUGGGAUAUGAAGGGUAGGGAAAUGGUUGGUUAUGAGUAUAACCAUAGUUACUACUUCCCACUCCAACAGAGUUUGAAGUUAUAGAUAACGAGUCAUCUUCUUGACUUGACAAAAUCCCCUUACCUCUUUCUCUACGAGUAUAGUCAUUCCCUAUGGCACCAAUUCCUAGUCAUGCCCGCCUACUGCCAUAGUCCUCAUCAUGUGUUGCAUGCGUGAAGUUUGCCUCACCAGUGAAAGGGCUCAUAAAUCCGGGAGGUGGUCCAACAUAGUUUCCAUAUCCACCACCACUACCUCCAGCUCCACUAUAUCCUUCAUCAUUCCCACCUCUGGUGGUAGGUGAGUCUCCUGAUCUUGUACUAGAGCUAUCAUUAGUAUCAGCACGAUAUUGUGGUUGUGUAGGGUUGGAAGAAUGUGGACUUCCAGUGUUUCUUGGUCUUGGGCACAAAAGUUCUUCCAAAGAGUCAGCGCUGCUAGAUCCCACCUCCUCCUCUAAUACUCUUUCUACAUUUAUCCCUUCAUUACGUGCUUCUUCAGCAACUCUGAGAGCUGGGUUGCCUUCAUCAUCAUCUAAAUGAAGAGGUCUAAUCCAAUGAUAAAGUUGGUUACCCUCUGUAUCAUCAUCUUCAGCAAUAAUAUCAAACACAUCUAGUGGGUCACCAUGGUCGACAUGAUCUAUUUUUGCUUCCUUAUCUCGAAUUUGAAGCUUCAUGUUGUAGUAGCAAUAAACUAAUUUUUCCAACCUACUAUGAGCCAACCUAUUUCUUUGCUUUGUGUGUAUGAGUGCAAAUGUGCUCCAAUUUCUUUCACAAGCAGAUGAGGAAGCUGUUUGUGAUAAUACUUUGAUUGCUAACUUUCUCACAGUUGGUGCAUCGGUCCCAUACAUAAUUCACCAUUCAGCUACAAUGAAAAACAAUGUUGAUAAGCCUAAUAACUCCAACAAAUUCUAUUAUAAACUUAUCGUGAAAUAUGUUUACACUCACUAGGAGACAUUUUUGUUCGAGCAGCAACUGAUGUUGGUUCUCCAAAAGUUCUUCUUACAUCUUUAAACCAUGUUAGCUGAAUUCAAUAAAUCGUAUUAGUUUAAUCCAACAAAGUAAUUAUUAUCAUUUAAGUAAUUGUGUACCUUAUUUCCAAAUUGGUCAACUGCUGGUGAUGCAGGGUCUAAUUUAGAGUAUACAUUAUGUAAAGCACGUAUAAGGGUACCAUCAUCUCCAAUACCGGGUUUGUAUUGGUAUCGAGGAUUUAAAUAAUAUAUUGUUCAAAGAACACAUACUCUAAUAAGAGAAAUAAUACUUAUGCAACUAAAGAAAUGAAUUGCAAAUUAUGACAUAAUUUAUACAUGCUGCAUGCAAAUCGUGGUAUAAUGUUUUAUACCAUCGGUCUUCAAUUAUCUUUAUGACCCACCUUGCACCAUGUUUUCUUUCCAAUUCAUCCUUCACUACACACAUCAACUCAUAUAUUGCCCCUACAGUAGGAUACACUUCUGUGUCAACGAUCCGUAAAACUUUGUAAAGAGGUUCAAACACUUGGCACACAUGUUCUGAUUGAGUCUAAAAAGCAUGAUCAAGCAUUAUACUUUCCACCAUACGACCUACAUUUGAGCGGCUCAAAUUGUGGUUAUCCCAAUCGUCACUAGUGAAUAGUUGCUUCAACCCUAUUUUCUUCUUAAAUAGGUUGUCUAAUGCAAUAUAGUUGGUGGUGAAUCGAGUGGUAGCUAGACGAAUAAUGUCUCAUUUGCAAAAUUCACGCAUCUUUGCCAACAACCAACCGUGAUUGUAAAUAUAAUUUGUGAUCGUUCUAGCUCUUUUUACCACAGUAGCAACAUUCUCUCUCUUCCCCAUUGCCUCAAACAUGAGAUCAAUAAAAUGUGUUGCACAUGAUGUCCAAAACACAUUAUGAUGCUUCAUUAACUUUUUUUCAGCUUUGACAAAUGCAGAACCGUUGUCGGUCACGACUUGGACAACAUUAUGCUUUCUUACCUCCAUGAUUACAUCCCUCAAUAAUUUGUAAAUAUACUUGUAGUUCUUUAUAUGGUCUGAAGCAUCAACAGACUUAAAAAAAUGUCUUUCCCUUGGAGUAUACCAUGAAAUUUAUGAUAGACAAUCUGGUCGGGCUAGUCCAUCCGUCACACAUGAUUGUGCAACCAUUAGUUUCCUACUUUGACCUCAACUUGUUAACAUACUCGCCAAUGUCUUUAUACUUCAUAUCCAAAUAUUUGUUUCUUAUCUCAUAGGGAGUGGGAGGUUGUACUUCAACACCGGCCUGUUGACAUCCCACUACCAUAUUUUUGAAAUGAUGUGAUGAUACUUUCUUAGCAGGGACAUUUUCAUAGAUAAAGAACUUGCUAAUUAGACGCCUCAUUCCCUCCUUCACAUUACCUCCAAUGAAAUAACUCCAAACACUCUUUUGACGUGCUUUGGAUGACUUAUAUAAAUUUGGGGCUAUUGGUGGUGUUAGUUGUGAUUCUUUAAGACUGCCUCCCCGUAUCAUUUGUACACCACCACUUGUCCCUGAACCUUGUGCUCUAUUAGGAAUUUUAUGAAGGUGUUCUCUUUCCCAUGUUGAUUGUUUGGAGGCACGUAAUGCUUGUUUCAAACUGCGUCGUUCUUCAAGUCUCAUGCCAUCAUCACAUUCGUCCUCAUCGUCAUCAUCAUCACUGCCAACCGCUUGGCCAAUGACUUCUCCUCGUAGCCCAGCUCGAAUAUUUUCCAUUCCAUGUGUUAUCUUUUCCUUUUGCUGUUUUUUAUUUUUUUAAUAAUGUGCUGAUGAAUGCCUUCACUUCUGGGGGGACAUUAUCGCAUAGUUGGACAUUUUUUGCUGGAUCUAAUCCACUAAGAUGGUACUUAAGUCGUGUCACUCCGCCACUCUUCAUUACCCGACCACAAUAUUUGCAAAUUGUGCCAUGUUUGUUUCCGUCUAUUGGGUCUCCAUGUUCCCAAGCUGGAUCACGUUUAGCAACUCCACUGGACAUCUUAAACGUACCUAUAUUUAUUUUUCAUGAAAAUUAGAUAAUUAUUUUUUGGCCAAAAAAUAUAGUAGUGAUGACGGUUAUAUAAGAGAACCUAAAUAAUAAAGUUAUUCUAGAGAAGAAUUAAAUGAAAAUGAUUGUAAAAAUUUAAGUAAUUAUAAAAAUAAUAUGGAAUAAUAAAACCUAAAUUAAUGAAUAAUAAUCCAAUUUGAUAAAAAAAUAAUCCUUAAUAUAAAAACAUAGUGAUGAAUAAUAAUCCAAUUUGAUAAUAAUCCAAUUUAAUAAUAAUCCAAUUUGAUAAUAAUCCAAUUUAAUGAAUAAUAAUCCAAUUUGAUAAUAAAAAAAAACCUAAUAUUAAUGAAUAAUAAUCUAAUUUGAUAAUAAAACCUAAUAUUAAUAAAAUAAUAAUAACAUUAAACAUAUUAAAAUUAUCCUAGGGAAUAAUUAUACAACAUUACUUAAUUACUUAAAAAAAUUAACAUGUAAUUGUUAACAUUACUUAAUUACUUACAAAAAUUAACAUGCAAGUAUUAAUUACUUAAAAAAAUUAACAUACGAGUCCACACAAAUUUUUUUGUUGUUGUAUAAAUUACAAUAAUAUAAAUAUAAGUUUGUAAACUUACUUUAACUAUGGAACCCUUUGUGUUCAAGCUCUGGAAUGGAUCUGGAAUGGCUUUGAAAGGGGUAAGGGAAGAAGAAGAAACGAAAAUGCUCUGAAUGGCUCUGAUACUCCACCUCUGAGAAUGUGAAAGAAUAUCAUAGACAGUGGCACACGGUUUUGAAUGUGAAAGAAUAUCAUAGACUCAUAGUGGCACACGGUUUCAUUAUGAAAGCACUAUUACUUUUGUCCAUGGUCUGAAAUUGUAAAAAGUGAUUGUAAAAGUUGUCAGGUGAGUCAAAUAACCCAACCACACACACACACAGAGACACGCCACCACACACGCACACAACACAACACACGCACACAGUCCCUCCCUCUCGAUCCUUCUCUCUUCUCUGAGCUCCCUUAUCCCCUUUCUCCAUUCUCCCACACACAUGCACAGAGACCCAAGGUCUCUCGAUCCUUCUCCCACACACACGCACAAAGACCCAAGGUUUCUCGAUCCUUCUCUCACAUCGCCUUCUGCUCCUCCCUCGUUGGCGCCUUCUCUCUCCUUUCUCUCUGCACCGAGGGUCCGAGACCCACAUACACACACGCACACCAUCGCACCUGCUUCAGGAAGACACCCAUCAUCAUCAGCAACCUUGUCUUUCUCCCUCUCCUUCUCAUCUCUGCAACUCGGCGAAUACAGGAACUCUGGCAAGUUUCUUGAAUUUCUCCAGUUAGGUAAGCUUCGGGUUUGCCUCUUUUUGUUCUAGAUUGAAGCUUAUAUGUGAAAUUUAAGUUCAAAAUCGUGUUUUUGCAAGGUUUUUGGGAUGAAAUCGGCUCAGGAAUAGGCACACCCAUCUCCGGCGAGGCCGUGGGUGUCGACGAACUUUCUUAACACCUUCGACCGUUUCACGGAAAACGGAAUUUAUAAAAACAUUCAUCUCGUCUUCUAUUUCAUUUUGAUACCUAGAUCGGAGUCUAGGGUGUUCUUUUGCAGUCGGCCGGAGCUGUAGAAGCUCCGGCGUUUUUCUUCGAUUAGCACAGUUUCAAAAUAUCGCGAUAGUUUUGGAAAUAUCGCGAUAUUAUCGAUAAUAUCGCGAUAUUUUGACGAAAACCCGUUGGAUACCUAUUAAAAUAUCGGUAACGUGAAAAAUCGAUAAUAUCGACGAAAUAUUGCCAAUAUUAUCAGCAUUUGAGACCUUGGGUGGGACAAGUGAAAAAGUGGGAAGGGAGGAAAAGAUUAGUAGGGUAUUAUUGUCAUUUACCAUGAAAAAGUUGUCACAUAUCCUUUUUUAACUUUGAUUUGGAUGGAACACUAAUGGAAGGUCGACAUUGAUUCGCGAGGUUAAAAUUCAGGGACUACACUGAUCGAUUUUCAAUUUCAGAGAACAUCAUGAUUGAUAGGGUCAAUUUCAUAAAUCAUUUGUGAUAAAAACCCAAAUAGAAAAUAACUGAAAGUAUCAUCUGACUAAUCACCACUAAACGGGAAAGUCUGCUUAUGUGGAAGAAUGGUCAAAGUUUUAAAUUUGAAUUCAGGAUUUUUCCUAAAACAUGCCAAUGCCGUGUGUAUGUAUCGCCUAAUUAUGAUAUGACUGUUGGGCCUUCAUUUUCAACUAUCUAUUUUGUCUUGGGUGUGAACUUUUUUCCUUCCGGUCCUUUCCGGUCCUAGUGUAAGUUAAAAAUAGUAAUUCGUUUGUAUUAAAACAACUAUAAAUAAUAGUUCAGUAAAGACUUAUGAUAAAAAUCAAAUUAGGCUAAGCCACACAAUUGAAUGCAUAAUAAUGUGGAUCAAAUUCGCUAUUUAUAAAUCGAACUUGAGAUUUCUCACUUAAAAAUGAAAAAUAAUAUCUCUAGAUCAUAAUACAUCAGUACGUCAAUUUUUGUCUUUAUAAACUAGCCAAAUAAAAAAUGAAUUGGCCUAAUGGAGGUUGUUAAUAGAGAAAUGACUUUACUGAAAUCGGGAAUACAACUUUAAAAGAAGAACAAUUAGAGAAUACUCUCUGCUUACGUAAACUUCAAAAUUCAAAUCCCCCUUUGCUGUCUCUAAUGUUUUGAGUACUUAGAGAACCUAGCCAGCAACCAUAAUAACCACAAUCACAAGUUCCUAGCCCACUAUAGCAUAGUAAAUGACUAUUACUAAAUGACAGCACAAUUCCUAAUUAAAACACCGCGUGCAAGAAAUCAAGUUAGUAAGAAGUAUUCAAUCGAAUUUGAACCAGCCACCAAACUACAUUGAUGGCACUGCAUCAUGGCCACAUGAUUAUAAUUUCCUUGACCUCAGGUCAGCGUGGAAGAUGGCAAGGAAACUACUUCGCAUAUUGUGAAGUCGAGAAAAGAGACCUUAUCAUAAGUUCAUAACACAAGAGAUGGAUCAGUCUUUGACAUUUAAUCUCUCAGCCUCUCAUCAUUUUUAGUAAUCGAACGAUCAUGGAUUCAACGACCAAUGAAGGAGCCUCUUCCUCUUCUUCUUUCACCCAUUCAUGGACAUAUGAUGUCUUCCUUAAUUUUAGAGGAGAGGAUACCCGCUACAAUUUUGUAGGUCAUCUGUACUACAAUUUGGUUCAGAAGGGAAUCAAAACCUUCAUAGACGAUGAGGCGCUUAAAAGAGGAGAGGAAAUAUCGUUGGCGCUUCUCAAAGCAAUCGAGCAGUCGAGGAUUUCUCUUGUUGUCUUCUCCAAAAACUACGCUUCCUCACAGUGGUGCUUAGAUGAACUCAUUCACAUCUUUCACUGUAAAGAACAACUGCAGCAAAUGGUUAUUCCAGUUUUUUACAAGGUGGAUCCAUCGGAUGUGAGGAACCAAAGAGAGAGUUUCGGUAAGGCACUUGCUGACCAUGAAAGCAAACUCAAGGAUAACAUGGACAAGGUGUUGAGAUGGAGAAAAACUCUUACAAAAGCAGCAAAUUUGUCUGGCUGGUCGUUCCUGGCCGACGGGUAUUUUUCUGAUCUCUAUGUACUUGCAAACCUAUCAUUCAAAUGUAAAAUAAGCUUAUUAUUUGCUUCAAUUCAUAAGCAUAAUAU